This 631-nucleotide long non-coding RNA is filed under the name Pan troglodytes (chimpanzee). RNAcentral describes it as "long non-coding RNA NONPTRT006415". Lineage: Eukaryota; Metazoa; Chordata; Mammalia; Primates; Hominidae. The record is from RNAcentral.
UGUGGCCUCCUCCCUACCUGCUAACAUUUAGGCCUCAGCACAUCCGGUGGCUAGAACUAGCAAUCACACAUUAGUAAGCAAGUUCAUUUCCAUUUCCUGAUGGAUGAAUUUAUCUUGGGAACAUUUGAGAUGGGUACAUACCUCCCAGAGCCCGACUUGGGAGAAAUCUGUCAAAAAUAUCAAGAGGCUGAGCCUUGUCUUAGAAAGGGGCUUCAGAAAUGCUUGCAUGGGCGGCGGCUUCUUCCCGGGGCAAAGGUCUGGUGGAGCUGCAGGGCCUUGCUCCCAGGAUGGUAAAACAGGGACCCAGAGCUGUUAAGUGGCUCCCACAAAGUCACCCAACCAGGCUGGGCCAAACAGGGAUUGAUGGCCAGGUGUCCUGUCUCUAAGCAUCUCUGGGGUCUUGCUCUGCUGAGCUGAAAGUGAACUUUGAGGGUCAAAAUACUUUUUCCCAACCGUUUCCCAGGCUUAGCAGAAAGUAGAGGAAUGUUCUUGCAACCUAGCUGGAAAGGAAGCAAAGAAGGAUCAGGGUGAACCGCUGCAGGGCAGACCAGAGACAAAGAAGGGUCAGGGUGAACCGCCGCAGGGCAGACCACAGAGUCACAGAUCUUUCAUCUCCCUGCCACCACCGCCA